Molecule: ribosomal RNA, 401 nt
Filed under: uncultured bacterium
Lineage: Bacteria
Description: bacterial SSU rRNA
Rfam family: Bacterial small subunit ribosomal RNA
Source: RNAcentral
GAAUCUGGCUUCAGGUCGGGGACAACGGUUGGAAACGACUGCUAAUACCGGAUAUGCCGAGAGGUGAAAGAUUAAUUGCCUGGAGAUGAGCUCGCGUCUGAUUAGCUAGUUGGUGGGGUAAGAGCCUACCAAGGCGACGAUCAGUAGCUGGUCUGAGAGGAUGAUCAGCCACACUGGGACUGAGACACGGCCCAGACUCCUACGGGAGGCAGCAGUGGGGAAUUUUCCGCAAUGGGCGAAAGCCUGACGGAGCAAUACCGCGUGAGGGAGGAAGGCUCUUGGGUCGUAAACCUCUUUUCUCAGGGAAGAAGAAAGUGACGGUACCUGAGGAAUAAGCAUCGGCUAACUCCGUGCCAGCAGCCGCGGUAAUACGGAGGAUGCAAGCGUUAUCCGGAAUGAUU